Molecule: ribosomal RNA, 466 nt
Filed under: Indirana cf. beddomii 72
Lineage: Eukaryota; Metazoa; Chordata; Amphibia; Anura; Ranixalidae
Description: partial 16S ribosomal RNA
Rfam family: Bacterial large subunit ribosomal RNA
Source: RNAcentral
GUUCUUUAAAUGGGGACUUGUAUCAACGGCUUCACGAGGGCCAUACUGUCUCCUUUUUCCAAUCAGUGAAACUGAUCUUCCCGUGAAGAAGCGGGAAUUAACCUAUAAGACGAGAAGACCCCAUGGAGCUUUAAACCCAACAACAAGUCUAAUAAACACACCCUAAAAAUUAGACACCUGCUGUUGGUUUUAGGUUGGGGUGACCGCGGAGUAUAAACUAACCUCCACGACGAAUGGGACUAAACCCUUAUCUACGAGCCACCGCUCUAAGAAUCAGCACACUGACUUCUAAUGAUCCGAUAUUCGAUCAACGAACCAAGUUACCCUGGGGAUAACAGCGCUAUCCAUUUCAAGAGCUCCUAUCGACAAAUGGGUUUACGACCUCGAUGUUGGAUCAGGGUAUCCUAGUGGUGCAGCCGCUACUAAAGGUUUGUUUGUUCAACAAUUAAAACCCUACGUGAUCUGA